ACGAAGGUUUCCAACACACGCGACCCCUCUCUCUCUUUUUCCUUUCCUCUCCUCCAACCCCGCCUCUUUCCCGCUGCUCCGCCGCCACCUCUUUCGCCGCCAAAUACACCGCGUGCCGCCGCCCGUUCCUGUGCCCUAUUCAUCUCCCGUCCCGAGCUCCACCUCGUCCUGCCUCAUAUCCCCCGAUCUUCUCGAUUUGGAUCUCGGGAGCACACGAGAGGGAGGCGAGGUGCCUGUUGCUGGGAGACGGGCGAUGAGGAGUCUCGGCCCUUGGAUCUUUCUGUCUCGCGGGGCCAGGCCUCCCGUCCACGCCGCGCCGCCGCCGGCAUGGAGGCCAUGGCUCGGGCAGCUGCCGCGGUGUCGGGUGCGCCGGCGAGGUAUCUGGGUAUGCGCGAUGGGCGUGACCUCUCCCGGCUCCCCGCCCUCGUCUGCGACAACGAGGACCAAGAUGCAUUUACGGUGUUGUCUGGUGCGUCCUCGGGUUUGGUUGAUCGAGGCUAGCCACCCUAAGCUUACAUGAAUUGAUUCAUGGUCGUGCUGGACAUUCCCCAUGACGCCGCCAGCGCCAACGGGCUUCCGCAUCUCACCCAACCAAGAGUUAUGAUGCUACUACUCACUUUGAGACAACUGUGACAGGUGUUCUUAGCACUUUUGGCAAAAAUGUUGACAUUUCUUCAGCUUUAUAUAUGCAUGAGUGAACCUAAUCUUUUCUGUUCAAAUACUAAAUGUUUUCCCUCAGUUUUUUGUCGUGCACCAGUUGGAAAGAUGAUAAAUUUAGAAGCUUCUUUCUCUUUUCUUUGGGACAUGGGUAUUGAUGCUAGUAUUUUCUACCAUUAUCUUAACCUUGGUAGACUGAUGGUUAGCGUCAGGCAACCGCAGAUUUUUAUUGAUUUUUAUAGUCCCCCUCUGUAUAAAUCUUAUAUUUGUUCUAUUCUCCAUGAGUGAAUAAUUACCUAACUGUUGUUAAUCUGAGUUUGCAUUUUCAUAUGUGUUCACCAAUUCGGCUUCUGGGUGGCAAGAUUAGCUGAUUUAAAGCAUUCUCUUUGGGCAAACAUUAGUCACUGCUAUCCAAAAAUCUGCAGAACAAGCUUGUUGUAUACUUGUUUUAACUUGCAUAUAAGGGGCAAAUAAGAACGAAUGGAAAAGGAACACCUAAGCUUUCUUUAGUUGUGCUCAUUUUACAUUAGUGGACAAAGUUACAUAAGUUUGCCUGUAGCACUACUGAUAUCAGCGAUUAAAUUUAGCUGCUUUUUAGUUCUAUAGGCUGAAAAUGAUGUUGAGGUUCUAAACAUACUGUUUGACUGGGUUUUCUUCUUGAUGUGCAGCUAAAUUAGUCUUCCAGUUUGUCAACUUAGAUGAUAAGAAUUAUAUAUUCGUGUGUAAUUUUCAUUUGCUGGCGCUGAAGACAUAGAUGGGUGUUUGGCGUCCUUUUUUCUUUCUCCAAUUAGACAUUGUUAGUGUUUGUAUGAAGAUACGACUAGAAAAAUUGCUCUGUUUGCUAGAUAACAUGUUCAGUUCUGGACGGUGGCACCUUUUAUUGUAUCCAAAUUUUGUUUACCUCUUUCCGAUUUGAUGCAAUGACUUAGUUACUUUGUACAUGUUGGGUUCUCCUGGGAAAAACCUUUGUAAUUGAUACUGAAAUGGCAGGAUAAUCAAGCUUCCUUUCUGUACUGGAAGAAGCCAAACAAUGUGUAGUUACACACUUCGAUGGUACCGUCUGUCGGGUUAGGGCGACCAUGAGCGAAGCUGUUCCCUUCUCUGGGACUAAAUCCGAUCCAGUCACCUAAGUCAAUGUCGUCUACUAGGGAAGGGACAUGUGCUUGGUCUCCAUGCUAGCUUAUACCUUAACACUGAUUUGCUGUCUCCAUUGCUUUAUGUUCACGUACAUGAGUGUAUUAGGGAAUAAAGCAGAAACACAUAUGUACAUACAGUCUGGGAGCGCAAGCUGUGAUACUGAUGCACCUCCUCUAUGAUAGGUGACUUUGAAUGUUCAUUUCAUCUUUUUUUGAGUUGUUGAUUGUUUUUGAGAUAGCUAACCGCUUAUUCCAAGCGGUCAUUUCAUCUUUCUUUAUCUUGCUAUGGUAGGCUGUGAGGCUGAUGCACCUCCUGGAUGAUAGCUGGCUUUGAAUGUUCAUUUCAUCUUUGCUUAUAACUCAGUAACACAACCACUGCUGGCCUUAUGCAGCAAGUCAACCCCACCAUCUCUGCCCCCCUUUUCAUGGCGGCUUUGGACGACAGAUGAAUCGAGGCUGUCCCUUUCGUCCACUCACAUCCUCAGUUAUUUCUCUUAUAUACAUACAAAUUAUUAUGGGCGAUGGCCAUGGUCUGUGAAUUCAGGCGUCGUCUGUCGAGGUGAUGUCGACUUAUUCAAGCAGAAGGUUCAUGAGAAAUGUAGUCACUGGUGUUUCUGCACUAGAGCAUUCAGAGUUGUAAGUGACUUUACUUUGGUUACUGAUAGUGCCAAAAGGCACUCAAAAUGUAAGAAAAGUUAUGUGAAGAGAAGCACAACACCUUUACUAUAAGGAUACGGAUUUAUUUAGUGA
Long non-coding RNA from Triticum aestivum (bread wheat), 2543 nucleotides. RefSeq lists it as uncharacterized. Lineage: Eukaryota; Viridiplantae; Streptophyta; Magnoliopsida; Poales; Poaceae. The transcript is spliced from 4 exons. The record is from RefSeq and is a predicted model, not a curated record.